AGCCGUUCCUGAAGUGUCAAAU
Molecule: microRNA, 22 nt
Filed under: Drosophila virilis
Lineage: Eukaryota; Metazoa; Arthropoda; Insecta; Diptera; Drosophilidae
Description: dvi-miR-9697-5p
Source: miRBase by way of RNAcentral